Long non-coding RNA from Astatotilapia calliptera (eastern happy), 1463 nucleotides. Lineage: Eukaryota; Metazoa; Chordata; Actinopteri; Cichliformes; Cichlidae. The record is from Ensembl.
UUAUCACACACGGAUAUGAUGCAUGUUUUUCUCAUUGUUCUUUUCGGUCCCGUAGGAGCUUUAACUUCUAGUCAUAAUUUGACCAGUGGAACAGUGUUGGAGAUGAUGGUCAGACCAGGAGAAAACAUAACUCUCUACUGUGACUGUAAAACUUCAACUGGAGAAUUCAUAGUGUGGUACAGGAAUUGCUCUCAUGAGAAACAACCUUCUCUUGUUCUAAAAACAAAGCUUGAGCAAAGACAAUAUAAACCAGGUAUUGAUUACCAAAACCUUCUGAAUCCACUCCCUAAUUUCCAUCUUGUGAAAAAUCAUUCCUCUCAAUCCUAUGACCUGCUGAUCACAAACAUCACUGAUUCAGAUGAGGGCUUCUACUACUGUGGAACUGAACAAUCUAAGGUGAAGGACAAAGAAACAAUUAAUCUUGAAUGCCUUUAUAGAUAUGGAAACCUCACCACAAAGAUCCUACUUCACCCCCGUGAGCCUCAAACCACGCAAAAAGACUGUGGUAUAUGCUGGAUGCUUCUCUUCUCUCUGUGUCCAGCUUUUGUGGCCCUCUCAUCUCUGCUAUGUUCUCUUUUGAUAUAUUACCAUCACAAGACAGCUAAGAAACCUCCGGCUGAUGAGAAAAGAUAUGAGAGCAGAGACCAGAUGAGAAGAAAUCAGAAUGAAGAUGUGUGUUAUGCAGCACUGGAAAUCCAGCCAGUAUCUCAGAGACCAAAGAAGAGGAUUGCCCAGAGUUCAGAUUUCAGUGCCAACACAACCAUGAAUAGUUUUCACAUGUAAUGAACUUUUUUUUCCCUCAGUAUGGUUACUAAGUAUUGUUGAUAAGUAGUCUGUGCUACCAGAUCUGAUAAGGAAAGAUUAUGUAAGAUUAUGGUCUUUUUUCCCCCAAAAAAAUCAAUGUAAGGAAGUGAUUACCUCCACAAGAAUUCUAAUGCUUAGAUAUUUAAAAAUAAUAAAUAUUUACUGUGUUAGCAAAGUUUUUAAAAUUGCGACUUGGUGUUAAAGUCACCUUAACUUGGAAAUAUCAUUUUAACUUCUUAAUCCUCCUAUAACAAACCCUUAGUAUUUAUGUGAUCAUUGUAAUACAUCUGUGUGCUGUGCUUUAAAACAGUGAAUUUUCAGAUACACUGUAGGCUACAAUAUUUUUUAAACCUAAUAAAGUUCAUUAAAAUGUAACCUAUUUUAAUUGUGAAUAUUUUGCAUUCCCCUUACUGAUCGACAGCCUACCGUGAAUGGUUUGACUCACACAAAAAAAGAGUAUAAAACAAAAAGGCCCAGGCCAAAAGCAAUUUAACAUACUAUCAUACCAGUUGUAUUAAUUUCUAAAUGGUUCUUUUACAGAUUCAUAUAUACUACUCAGAAAACCUACAGUUUUUGGACAUUUUUGUGUCAUUUUGAAGACUAAUAGAUAUCGAUGUUAAUUUAACAUUUCAUAUCCAACUCUACCAUUUGGUGCUGUG